This 2706-nucleotide long non-coding RNA is filed under the name Homo sapiens (human). RNAcentral's name for it is "HSALNT0397724". Lineage: Eukaryota; Metazoa; Chordata; Mammalia; Primates; Hominidae. The record is from RNAcentral.
GUGAGUCCUCAGUCUUGGGCUAUUCGGCCACGUGCCUGCCGGACAUGGGACGCUGGAGGGUCAGCAGCGUGGAGUCCUGGCCUUUUGCGUCCACGGGUGGGAAAUUGGCCAUUGCCACGGCGGGAACUGGGACUCAGGCUGCCCCCCGGCCGUUUCUCAUCCGUCCACCGGACUCGUGGGCGCUCGCACUGGCGCUGAUGUAGUUUCCUGACCUCUGACCCGUAUUGUCUCCAGAUUAAAGGUACGACAUUUGGAGGCCCCAGCGAGAAACGUCACCGGGAGAAACGUCACCGGGCGAGAGCCGGGCCCGCUGUGUGCUCCCCCGGAAGGACAGCCAGCUUGUAGGGGGGAGUGCCACCUGAAAAAAAAAUUUCCAGGUCCCCAAAGGGUGACCGUCUUCCGGAGGACAGCGGAUCGACUACCAUGUGGGUGCCCACAAAAAUUCCACCUCUGAGUCCUCAACUGCUGACCCCGGGGUCAGGUCCAGAUUUUGAACAAAUCUCGCUAGAGAUUGAACAGAGCUGCGCCUGGAUCCCGCCACAGUGAGGAGACCUGAAGACCAGAGAAAACACAGCAAGCCCCUGGAUCCUCCUGGAAUCCCCGAUCCCUCUUGCUCCCUGGCAGAGUUUUCUAGUCCCUCUUACUUGAAGCAUGUCUUUCAGAGCCCGGCACCACCCAUCUUGAGUAUCUGGUGAGUUCUGUGGUCUGCAUGUCCAUGUUUGGGACAUUCUGGGAAGGGUGGCCCAGGCUGUGAUUUGCCAUCUACUGCAGGCUAUGGAUGGUAUUCAGAAGGGAGGGGAGAUGCUGUGUGCGUGUUCUGAAGGGUUUCCCACUAAACAGAUCAACCCUCUCCAUAACUAUUUGAUUUUUACUUUAUCUCCUCGUUGACUUCACAGUGUCAGUGCAGUUUGUGUAAACAUCUCUAUGGGGUGAUGCAUGCAGAUAAAUGUUUAUGUGAACAUAUAAAGUCUGCAUGUGUGGGUGAACACUCCACAUCAGGUCAUUGUCCAUCAUUACAUAUCUGUGGUGUCUGGCUCAUUCGUCUCGUUUUCUGUCAUUUUACCUACUUUUACCUGAAGUACAAUGACUAUUUAAUAACUAUUAAAUGUUUCAUUUCAGCUACACCUCUAUGGUAUUUUUUUCACCUCAUAUCAUACCUUCCUCCCUCACUGGACUUCAGUGUGGGACCUGCAGGUCUCAGGCCUUCUGGGAAGUCCCAGCUUUUCUUGAAUGUUUUCUCUCUCUGGCCAGCUCAGGCUGGAGCAGUGGGUGUUGGUGCCAUCCUGUGGCUAUAGGUGAUAAGCCGGCUGUUCUUCACUGACCUGGUCUUACCUUGAACCCUGGAGUUCUCACAUGCAUGGAUUUAAAUGCUGUGUCUUUCUAAGGGCACAUUAUGGCCAUUUUCCUUAUCUCCCUCCCAAGGGGCUGUUUGCUGUGUUUAUUGACUCCCUGUUUAAAAAACAUAUAUAUAUAUAUAUAUAUAGACGAAUUAGGUUGUACCCCAUAAAUUGCAUGUUUGAAAAAUAUUUCAAAGAAUAGUUUAUUUUUUUUUGCUGAUUUUUAUGUAUCUUCUAAAUUGUAUAUAUUUAUGGGGUAUAAAAUGAUGUUGUGAUUUUUCAAUACAGUGUGGAAUGAGAAUCAAAUUAACCUAUCCGUUACCUCAAGUACUUGACUUUUUUUGUGAUGAGAAGGCUGUUUAUCACUUUCACUCACCAGCUCCUGCUGUCUUCCAUGCUGGGGACAGGAAAGGCUCCACGCUUGACUUUCCCUCCUGUUUUCUUAUCUGCUGUCAACCCCUGAAUGUACCCUCCAGGAUUGCCUUCUAGACCUUCUACAUCUAGCUCGAUCAUUGUGCACCCACCUUCCUCCCAGGGACUGUCCUUAGGGAGUGACUUUAUGCACAAACUUCACAUGCUCUUCCUGCCUCCUUCAUCCCCAUAAGCCCCCAUCUCAGCCCCAUCUGAUUAUUUCUUCCCUGUCUCAUUUCCUGUUAUGCUGUUGGUUUUCUAACCUGAAGGGUAACUUCUUACUCCUUAGUUUUUUGCCUUAAUUUCUAAGUCAUAGGCUACUUUCAGGCUAAAAGUUUUCCUCCAGCCAUGGUUUUAGUCUCAUUCUAUAAGUCUUGCUAGGUAGUUUAUUCAUUGGAAAUUUUUUGUUUUUGAGACAGAGUCUCGCUCUGUCACCCAGGCUGUAGUACAGUGGUGCCAUCUCAGCUCACUGCAACCUCCGGUUCCCGGGCUCAAGCAGUUCUCUUUCCUCAGCCUCCUGAGUAGCUGGGAUUAUGGGUGCCUGCCACCACACCCAGCUAAUUUUUGUAUUUUUAGUAGAGACGGCAUUUCACCAUGUCAGCCAGGUUGGUCUCGAACUCUUGACCUCAAGUGAUCCGCCCACCUUGGCCUCCCAAAAUACUGGGAUUACAGGGGUGAGUCACCACACCCCACCCCUUGGCACUAUAUUUAAGUGAUGAUAUUUUUGGACACUGAGGUAGCCUCAUUCCACAGGUUUAGAUCUGAAGCAUUUUCACUAUUGCUUCUUUCCAUGUAUUUCCUGGUUUGCAGGUCAGUUUCUUCUUUUAAUUCAUCAUUGACACAGUGGUUUAUAUGGCUUUUAAUUUCAAAAGAUUUUUUAAAAUAUCUUUUUGCCGAUUUUUAUCUAUGUUAAUUUUAACUAGACAUGUUCCCUGGAAGGACAUCACUAGUUUUUUUU